AGUUAGCACACGUUUAAUUCCCAUUAUUCCUCGUCCUUGGACAGAUAAUUUACUGAGUGUAUCUUCCCAGGGCGGGGUGGGUGCUGAGAUCAAAGGGUGCUGGGAGUUGUAGAGGUGCAUUAGAGCCUAUGGCUGCAAGGUACAGUAAUAUAAUUUCUCCCAAGGUCUGAAGGGAAAAUAACUGACCAACCGCAACCUGUACUUAUUGUAGGGAACAGGAUUUCACCAACACUAAUACAGGGAGAUUGUUGUGUAGCCCCCUGUGCUCAGCUAUUAAGGGACUCCAACUCCCAUUACGCCCCUGGGGGUGGUCAAAGGGCGCCUCUGGGGGUAAGAAUUAACAUAGUGCUUUGUGAUCACUGUAAUAAUUAUAUUUUUUAUACCUCUUAAAGUCUGGUCGGGUACCCACAAAAUGCCUGCAAAGCCUAUGUGCAUAGGGUGCAACAGACUGGGCUGCGGGUAGGUACAUACAGCCUAUCCCUAGUUCAGCCAGGCCCGGAUUGUCAAUCUGUGGGUUUAGGCAAAUGCCAGAGGGGCUGCUGUAAGAUGCCAUAGACAGUCACUAUUGGGCUGUUUGGGCCUCUGUGUACUUGGAAUGACAGGGCCUAUUUUGACUUCCAGACAGUGGGGCCCCACACACUACAUCGCUGCUCCCACUCGUUAACCCACUACCCUACAGAUACCUAACUGAGGUGGGGUGACUGGGGGUAUGGGCUUGCUUAGGGCACCCCUUAGCUUUGGCACUGCCACUGGACCUUCUGCUACUACCUAAUCAGACACAGUGUUUCCCAACCCAUCCCCUAUGCAGACCUCCCCGUUGCUGGAUCUAGGGGGGGUUUCUAGCACCAGAGAGGGCAAUUGUGCUCUCUGAUUAAACAACUGAAUUUCUGGCUCUCACCUUUGCUUAUUACAGAAGCAUCCCUGGGUUGCAGAAAAGCCCAGGGGUAAACUGUUCCUGGAAAUCAUUAUCUUAUAUUGGCAACUAUGGAGCAGCACUAUUAAUACUUUGUAUAAGAAGGAAAAAAAGAAACUUAUCUCUACAUUUUAGCAUCCAAGACAGCAGGCGUUCCUACUAAAAGGCCUUGCUUGGAACAGCAGAGGACGCUCCUGCUAAUAUCAUGAAAUCUAAAAAGAAAUAUAAUAAUAAUUUAACUUCCAAAAGUUCUCAAAGCACAGGAAAAGGUGGCGUGUCUGUGUCUAUUACCUGCUUUGAUCACACUUCUGGGUUACAUUCAUUUAUUCAUGAACUCCUGGGGAGGAGAUCUGAAAGGCAGAACCCACGACAGCUACUGUCUCCGCUGAAAAGGCUUCAUCUCUGCCUGGGAUUUGUCUGUCUGUCUCAUAUCUAUCUGUGUUCUGCUUAGCUUAGUAAGUGUGUUCUAGUCCCACCCCAUCUUUUUAAAUAGCGUAAUAAAUAAAAAUAUG
Molecule: long non-coding RNA, 1425 nt
Organism: Xenopus tropicalis (tropical clawed frog)
Lineage: Eukaryota; Metazoa; Chordata; Amphibia; Anura; Pipidae
Exons: 5
Source: RefSeq, a predicted model, not a curated record